Molecule: long non-coding RNA, 406 nt
Organism: Cyprinodon tularosa
Lineage: Eukaryota; Metazoa; Chordata; Actinopteri; Cyprinodontiformes; Cyprinodontidae
Exons: 3
Source: RefSeq, a predicted model, not a curated record
AUACCAACAGUUUAGUGGGACAGUUUUCAGCAGAGCAUCAAGAAAGGAACAUCCCAUUUAGUGAGGAGAAAGGAAGCAGAGGAAGAGAAAAAUUCUCUCCAGACAGCAGAUAUGCAGUGGAAUCUGGUUCUGUUCUUUCUGAUGGCUACACUGUAACCACAGCUGCCCUGGAGCAGCCAGAAGCAAAGCCACUGAAUCUGCACCACAAGCAGAGAAGGUUGAUGAUCUGAUCAAUGACAGAACAACUGAAAUGGAGCAAAGGCUCAAACAGCGACGCACCUUUGAUACAAGACAACCUCCCCUGAGCCACUUCACCCCUAUAACCCUACAUAAACCUAAACUAACGACCUACUGCAAAUGCUGGUGGAGAUUUAUAAUCUAGUGCUAAAUACAGCAACAUUUUUAU